Hyla sarda is the source of this 495-nucleotide long non-coding RNA. RefSeq lists it as uncharacterized. The transcript has 3 exons. The record is from RefSeq and is a predicted model, not a curated record. NCBI's taxonomy places the organism in Eukaryota, Metazoa, Chordata, Amphibia, Anura, Hylidae.
CCUACCUGCAUAAGCCCUGAAUGAUUUUCUUGUUAUUAUCUCUAAAAUCCGGUUAUAGGACCAAAUUGUGGCUGCUGUUUAUUCAGCAUUUUUUGUCUCAAGAUGCCAUGCUGAGGCUGUCCACCCACCGGUCAUCACUACAGCUGCGAGACUAGACUAAGCUGGUUAUAGGCGAGCAGAACCAUCAGACCCCUCAGAACUGGAAAGCCUACUUCCAUUUAUAUAGAGAUUGUCUUAUGUUUACAGGAUCUCCAAAUGGUCCAAAGCCGGUGGUGUGGUACCGAGGAUAUAGGAGGCAUUUCUUAAGGAAAAUUGAGGAAAAAAAUCUCAGUGUUUUAUCAGGACAAGAACCGCUGUCACUUAUUUUCUCCUACACAGAAAUGAGGUUCAAUCCCAGGCCAGAAGACCCCUCCUCUGAAAUAGAGAUGUCUGAAGAUGGAACGUUGCCAGUAGUAUUAUGGUUCCAAGCUGUACUUCCUGCUUGUGAAAUAUAUA